This 301-nucleotide ribosomal RNA is filed under the name uncultured bacterium. Its description in RNAcentral is "partial 16S ribosomal RNA". It matches the Rfam family "Bacterial small subunit ribosomal RNA", at positions 509 to 807 of the family's 1533-position model. The record is from RNAcentral.
CAGUCGCCGCGGUAAUACGGAGGGUGCAAGCGUUAAUCGGAAUUACUGGGCGUAAAGCGCACGCAGGCGGUCUGUCAAGUCGGAUGUGAAAUCCCCGGGCUCAACCUGGGAACUGCAUUCGAAACUGGCAGGCUAGAGUCUUGUAGAGGGGGGUAGAAUUCCAGGUGUAGCGGUGAAAUGCGUAGAGAUCUGGAGGAAUACCGGUGGCGAAGGCGGCCCCCUGGACAAAGACUGACGCUCAGGUGCGAAAGCGUGGGGAGCAAACAGGAUUAGAUACCCGUGUAGUCCCUGUCUCUUAUAC